Molecule: ribosomal RNA, 1332 nt
Filed under: uncultured bacterium
Lineage: Bacteria
Description: bacterial SSU rRNA
Rfam family: Bacterial small subunit ribosomal RNA
Source: RNAcentral
GACGAACGCUGGCGGCGCGCCUAACACAUGCAAGUCGAGCGAGAGAUGAGGAGCUUGCUCUUCAAAUCGAGUGGCGAACGGGUGAGUAGCGCGUGAGGAACCUGCCUCAAAGAGGGGGACAACAGUUGGAAACGACUGCUAAUACCGCAUAAGCCCACGGCUCGGCAUCGAGCAGAGGGAAAAGGAGCAAUCCGCUUUGAGAUGGCCUCGCGUCCGAUUAGCUAGUUGGUGAGGUAACGGCCCACCAAGGCGACGAUCGGUAGCCGGACUGAGAGGUUGAACGGCCACAUUGGGACUGAGACACGGCCCAGACUCCUACGGGAGGCAGCAGUGGGGAAUAUUGCACAAUGGGGGAAACCCUGAUGCAGCGACGCCGCGUGGAGGAAGAAGGUCUUCGGAUUGUAAACUCCUGUUGUUGAGGAAGAUAAUGACGGUACUCAACAAGGAAGUGACGGCUAACUACGUGCCAGCAGCCGCGGUAAAACGUAGGUCACAAGCGUUGUCCGGAAUUACUGGGUGUAAAGGGAGCGCAGGCGGGAGAACAAGUUGGAAGUGAAAUCCAUGGGCUCAACCCAUGAACUGCUUUCAAAACUGUUUUUCUUGAGUAGUGCAGAGGUAGGCGGAAUUCCCGGUGUAGCGGUGGAAUGCGUAGAUAUCGGGAGGAACACCAGUGGCGAAGGCGGCCUACUGGGCACCAACUGACGCUGAGGCUCGAAAGUGUGGGUAGCAAACAGGAUUAGAUACCCUGGUAGUCCACACCGUAAACGAUGAUUACUAGGUGUUGGAGGAUUGACCCCUUCAGUGCCGCAGUUAACACAAUAAGUAAUCCACCUGGGGAGUACGACCGCAAGGUUGAAACUCAAAGGAAUUGACGGGGGCCCGCACAAGCAGUGGAGUAUGUGGUUUAAUUCGACGCAACGCGAAGAACCUUACCAAGUCUUGACAUCCCUUGACGAACAUAGAAAUAUGUUUUCUCUUCGGAGCAAGGAGACAGGUGGUGCAUGGUUGUCGUCAGCUCGUGUCGUGAGAUGUUGGGUUAAGUCCCGCAACGAGCGCAACCCUUAUGGUCAGUUACUACGCAAGAGGACUCUGGCCAGACUGCCGUUGACAAAACGGAGGAAGGUGGGGAUGACGUCAAAUCAUCAUGCCCUUUAUGACUUGGGCUACACACGUACUACAAUGGCGUUAAACAAAGAGAAGCAAGACCGCGAGGUGGAGCAAAACUCAGAAACAACGUCCCAGUUCGGACUGCAGGCUGCAACUCGCCUGCACGAAGUCGGAAUUGCUAGUAAUCGUGGAUCAGCAUGCCACGGUGAGUACGUUCCCGGGCCU